CCUACGGGAGGCAGCAGUGAGGAAUAUUGGUCAAUGGGCGAGAGCCUGAACCAGCCAAGUCGCGUGAGGGAGUACUGCCCUAUGGGUUGUAAACCUCUUUUGUCGGGGAGCAAAAGCCGGACGUGUCCGGCUGUGAGAGUACCCGAAGAAAAAACAUCGGCUAACUCCGUGCCAGCAGCCGCGGUAAACCGUAGGAUUCUAGCGUUAUCCGGAUUUAUUGGGUUUAAAGGGUGCGUAGGCGGAUUUUUAAGUCAGCGGUAAAAUGUCCGGGCUCAACCCGGGCCGGCCGUUGAAACUGGGGAUCGUGAGUGGGCGAGAAGUAUGCGGAAUGCGUGGUGUAGCGGUGAAAUGCAUAGAUAUCAGGAGGAACACCAGUGGCGAAGGCGGCCUGCUGGACUGCAACUGACGUUGAGGCCCGAAUGCGUGGGGAGCAAACAGGAUUAGAUACCCGGGUAGUC
RNAcentral lists this ribosomal RNA (458 nucleotides) under uncultured bacterium. RNAcentral's name for it is "partial 16S ribosomal RNA". It matches the Rfam family "Bacterial small subunit ribosomal RNA", at positions 338 to 795 of the family's 1533-position model. The record is from RNAcentral.